CCUACCGAUUGAAUAAAGAGGUGAAAUUCUAGGAUUUUCUCCGUAAGGGGAAGAAAAUGGAUUUAAAUCUCCUUAUUUAGAGGAAGGAGAAGUCGUAACAAGGUU
RNAcentral lists this ribosomal RNA (105 nucleotides) under Entamoebidae sp. ZOTU 2260. Its description in RNAcentral is "partial 18S ribosomal RNA". It matches the Rfam family "Eukaryotic small subunit ribosomal RNA", at positions 1681 to 1801 of the family's 1831-position model. The record is from RNAcentral. Lineage: Eukaryota; Evosea; Mastigamoebida; Endamoebidae.